This 388-nucleotide ribosomal RNA is filed under the name uncultured bacterium. Its description in RNAcentral is "bacterial SSU rRNA". It matches the Rfam family "Bacterial small subunit ribosomal RNA", at positions 29 to 419 of the family's 1533-position model. The record is from RNAcentral.
AUUGAACGCUGGCGGCAUGCCUUACACAUGCAAGUCGAACGACGUUACGGGGGCAACUCCGUAGCGAGUGGCGAACGGGUGAGUAAUGCAUCGGAACGUGCCCUCUUGUGGGGGAUAACCAGUCGAAAGAUUGGCUAAUACCGCAUGAGCUCGAGAGAGGAAAGCGGGGGAUCCGCAAGGACCUCGCGCGAGAGGAGCGGCCGAUGCCCGAUUAGCUAGUUGGUGGGGAAUAGCCCACCAAGGCGACGAUCGGUAGCUGGUCUGAGAGGACGACCAGCCACACUGGGACUGAGACACGGCCCAGACUCCUACGGGAGGCAGCAGUGGGGAAUUUUGGACAAUGGGGCAACCCUGAUCCAGCCAUGCCGCGUGUGUGAAGAAGGCCUGG